AGGUUUCCGUAGGUGACCUGCGGAAGGAUCAUUAUAGAAUAAAAUUGAACGGGCUGUUGCUCUCCUUAUGGUGGUGCACGCCUGUCAUAUUUAUCUCUCCCACUGUGCACAUUUUGUAGACCUGGUGUUUGGGAAUUGCUGUAGUCAGCUUUGCCCUUUGCCCUUGCCAGUCUAUGUUAUUUUAUCACAACCUCUGAAUGUUUUGAACUUUUUAUGAUGGAAAUUAUAUACAACUUUCAGCAACGGAUCUCUUGGCUCUCGCAUCGAUGAAGAACGCAGCGAAAUGCGAUAAGUAAUGUGAAUUGCAGAAUUCAGUGAAUCAUCGAAUCUUUGAACGCAUCUUGCGCUUCUUGGUAUUCCAAGGAGCAUGCCUGUUUGAGUGUCAUUAAAGUUCUCAAAACCCACAUGCUUGUCAUGUGGAAUUUUGGAUAUGGGGGUUUGCAGGCUUUUUAAAGUCGGCUCCUCUGAAAUGUAUCAGUGGUAUCUGUGUGGACUACAGGUGUGAUAAAUAAAAUCUAUGCCUUGCCCCUCACCGUGCUGCUUCUUCUGACGAGUUGGGAUUGACAAAUUUGACCUCAAAUCAGGUAGGACUACCCGC
Molecule: ribosomal RNA, 598 nt
Filed under: Inocybe mixtilis
Lineage: Eukaryota; Fungi; Basidiomycota; Agaricomycetes; Agaricales; Inocybaceae
Description: eukaryotic LSU rRNA
Rfam family: 5.8S ribosomal RNA (bases 232-385)
Source: RNAcentral